RNAcentral lists this unclassified non-coding RNA (639 nucleotides) under Zea mays. Its description in RNAcentral is "misc RNA Zm00001eb227860". Lineage: Eukaryota; Viridiplantae; Streptophyta; Magnoliopsida; Poales; Poaceae. The record is from RNAcentral.
CAAAUAUAAUGUCAAAAAUGGGUUUUCGCCAAGCAACCAUCCUAGUCUCAUCAUGCAUUCUCGUAAUGGUGGAGCUUGUACAGCAGGACCUUUCCACCUGCAUGUCCGACGGACAGGAAGCCGCUGCCGGGGCUGAAAUCCAGGCACCGUGGAUAGUGGAGACUAAACCGAGGCCCCGGCCAGUUCUGGAACACGCUGAACGACGGGACGUGCACGAGCCUCAUGCCGUUCCUCUCUUUCCUCGAGCUGAUCGCCAGGAUCUGGGCGUCAUGGUUGAACUUCAUCUCACCGAUAUCAGUGGUCAGGUUCUCGAUAGUCUUCAUCGGCUUCCUCUUCCCGCCGAGAAAAUCGUCCCUCUUGUACACAUUCACGAUGCCGCUGCUGGAGCCUGUGGCAAACAAAGAGCUAUCCCGCGAGGUGCAGAGCGAGAGGCCAGCCAGGGAACCGUCAUCUGUUGCCUUGUGGAUGCAUUUCCUUGUUCCAAGGUCCCAGUGGUAAACAUGGCCAUCUCCACCGCUGCUCAGUAGCUGGUUCCCACCAUCCGCAAAAGCCAGUGAACGCACGCUUCCGUUCAUCUUGAGGGUUGUGAUGAGCUGCUUUGUCUUGGCAGAAAUAAGAAGGAUGUACCCUUCAUUGCCA